GAUGAACGCUGGCGGCGUGCCUAAUACAUGCAAGUCGAGCGAACGGACGAGAAGCUUGCUUCUCUGAUGUUAGCGGCGGACGGGUGAGUAACACGUGGAUAACCUACCUAUAAGACUGGGAUAACUUCGGGAAACCGUAGCUAAUACCGGAUAAUAUUUUGAACCGCAUGGUUCAAAAGUGAAAGACGGUCUUGCUGUCACUUAUAGAUGGAUCCGCGCUGCAUUAGCUAGUUGGUAAGGUAACGGCUUACCAAGGCAACGAUGCAUAGCCGACCUGAGAGGGUGGUCGGCCCCACUGGAACCUGGACACGGUCCAGACUCCUACGGGAGGCAGCAGUAGGGAAUCUUCCGCAAUGGGCGAAAGCCUGACGGAGCAACGCCGCGUGAGUGAUGAAGGUCUUCGGAUCGUAAAACUCUGUUAUUAGGGAAGAACAUAUGUGUAAGUAACUGUGCACAUCUUGACGGUACCUAAUCAGAAAGCCACGGCUAACUACGUG
This 497-nucleotide ribosomal RNA is filed under the name uncultured bacterium. Its description in RNAcentral is "partial 16S ribosomal RNA". It matches the Rfam family "Bacterial small subunit ribosomal RNA", at positions 28 to 507 of the family's 1533-position model. The record is from RNAcentral.